GACGAACGCUGGCGGCGUGCUUAACACAUGCAAGUCGAACGGUGAAGCGCCUUCCUUUUUGGUGGGUGUGGAUGAGUGGCGAACGGGUGAGUAACACGUGAGUAACCUGCCCCCUUCUUCUGGAUAACCGCAUGAAAGUGUGGCUAAUACGGGAUAUUCUGGGUCUGUCGCAUGAUGGGUCUGGGAAAGAUAUUGUUUCGGUGGGGGAUGGGCUCGCGGCCUAUCAGCUUGUUGGUGGGGUGAUGGCCUACCAAGGCGGUGACGGGUAGCCGGCCUGAGAGGGUGGACGGUCACACGGGGACUGAGACACGGCCCAGACUCCUACGGGGGGCAGCAGUGGGGAAUAUUGCACAAUGGGCGCAAGCCUGAUGCAGCGACGCCGCGUGAGGGAUGGAGGCCUUCGGGUUGUGAACCUCUUUCGCCAGUGAAGCAGGCCUGCCUCGUUUGUGGGUGGGUUGACGGUAGCUGGAGAAGAAGCGCCGGCUAACUACGUG
This 494-nucleotide ribosomal RNA is filed under the name uncultured bacterium. RNAcentral describes it as "partial 16S ribosomal RNA". It matches the Rfam family "Bacterial small subunit ribosomal RNA", at positions 28 to 507 of the family's 1533-position model. The record is from RNAcentral.